ACAGCCAUAUCACCCUGCAGCCCAAGACUGGUUGCCCACUGAAGCUAAGCAGGGUUGAGCCUGGUCAGUACUUGGAUGGGAGACCUCCUGGGAAAACUAGGUUGCUGUUGGAA
This 113-nucleotide ribosomal RNA is filed under the name Sinocyclocheilus anshuiensis. The record is from RNAcentral. Lineage: Eukaryota; Metazoa; Chordata; Actinopteri; Cypriniformes; Cyprinidae.